UCCAUCAUGGUGUAGUGGCUAACAUUAUCGCCUCUCAUCCAGCACGAAGCAAAGAUGCGCGAUAGCCCAGGGUUCGAUUCCCUGUGAUGGAA
Non-coding RNA from Stygiomarasmius scandens, 92 nucleotides. The record is from the annotation of a GenBank genome assembly. NCBI's taxonomy places the organism in Eukaryota, Fungi, Basidiomycota, Agaricomycetes, Agaricales, Campanellaceae.